Molecule: long non-coding RNA, 882 nt
Organism: Diorhabda sublineata
Lineage: Eukaryota; Metazoa; Arthropoda; Insecta; Coleoptera; Chrysomelidae
Exons: 2
Source: RefSeq, a predicted model, not a curated record
AGUUUAUAAAAUGGAGGUACUGUUAUUUCGUGUUUGUGUUUGUUUUAAAUUAAAAAUAAUUAUUGUUGAUAAAACAAAUUAUAAAAUACGAGUGUUUGAUUAUUAAGGAUAGUUUUUUUUUAAUCAGAAUGUAUGGGGUACUGUUACUACCACCAUGGUUACUAUCCCGGUUACGGAUGCAAUUCCCACUUGGCUGUAUACUACGAAUAGUAGAACGACGACUUGAAAGGGCAUCACCCAAAUACCGUGUAUCACAGGUAAAGAUAAAUCGAAACGGACCAUAUCGUUCGAUAAUAAAUUGACUAUUUGUCCGGAAGCUGUUUGACCUAAAGAUUUCUGAUUUAGACGAAUUAUCUGAAAUGCAACAAUGUUCGGUGUUACACACUCAUAUUUUGUUUCAUUUUUACCGUUUUACCUUUCUGUAAAGCAAAGAUGAUAGAGCUACUCGUAUUCUCAUCCCAACCGCACCCAUAGAAAACAUAGUAUGAUGCAAAAUGAGCAAAGAUAAAAACGAUGUCAAUAUUAAACCCAGACCAUAAUAAUACAUAUCGCCUAUAUUCCUAUCGCCAUUAUUCAAAAAUAAUUUGAUCAGUUUCGCGAGAAUUAUUGGUCUUAAACAUCUAAAAAAAAUUAAAUAUAAAAUACAAAGUUACAAAAAUUAUGUUUUGCAAUGAUUUGAUAACGUUGUAUGAAAAUUAGCAGUUCUACCUUCAUUGAAGUCAACGUGGCAACGUUGUCGAAAAAUUAUGACCGCUGUUAUUUAACGUCUUGCUAGAAUCAUUACAGAAAGUAACAACAACGAUCCUGGUAUAUACGACUAACGAAUUUUGUUUUAUUAAAAUAUAUAACUAUUUAAAUUAAUUAAUAAAUAAUAUACUAAUU